RNAcentral lists this ribosomal RNA (253 nucleotides) under uncultured bacterium. RNAcentral describes it as "partial 16S ribosomal RNA". It matches the Rfam family "Bacterial small subunit ribosomal RNA", at positions 524 to 776 of the family's 1533-position model. The record is from RNAcentral.
UACGAAGGGGGCUAGCGUUGUUCGGAUUUACUGGGCGUAAAGCGCACGUAGGCGGAUCGUUAAGUCAGGGGUGAAAUCCUGGAGCUCAACUCCAGAACUGCCUUUGAUACUGAAGAUCUCGAGUCCGGAAGAGGUGAGUGGAACUCCGAGUGUAGAGGUGAAAUUCGUAGAUAUUCGGAAGAACACCAGUGGCGAAGGCGGCUCACUGGUCCGGUACUGACGCUGAGGUGCGAAAGCGUGGGGAGCAAACAGG